AGUGAACGCUGGCGGUAGGCCUAACACAUGCAAGUCGAACGGCAGCACAGUAAGGGCUUGCUCUUACGGGUGGCGAGUGGCGGACGGGUGAGGAAUACAUCGGAAUCUACUUUUUCGUGGGGGAUAACGUAGGGAAACUUACGCUAAUACCGCAUACGACCUACGGGUGAAAGCAGGGGAUCUUCGGACCUUGCGCGAUUGAAUGAGCCGAUGUCGGAUUAGCUAGUUGGCGGGGUAAAGGCCCACCAAGGCGACGAUCCGUAGCUGGUCUGAGAGGAUGAUUAGCCACACUGGAACUGAGACACGGUCCAGACUCCUACGGGAGGCAGCAGUGGGGAAUAUUGGACAAUGGGCGCAAGCCUGAUCCAGCCAUACCGCGUGGGUGAAGAAGGCCUUCGGGUUGUAAAGCCCUUUUGUUGGGAAAGAAAAGCAGCAGGUUAAUACCCCGCUGUUCUGACGGUACCCAAAGAAUAAGCACCGGCUAACUUCGUG
Molecule: ribosomal RNA, 492 nt
Filed under: uncultured bacterium
Lineage: Bacteria
Description: partial 16S ribosomal RNA
Rfam family: Bacterial small subunit ribosomal RNA
Source: RNAcentral